UGUAUUUCAUAACUUUGAAUGGGUAUAUGGUCGUUAUUUUAUGGUGGAUGUCAUUGAAAUUUUCAGGACGUACAAAAGAAAGGUAGAUUAUUCAUUUUAUUAUAAUAAAAGCUUAUUGAAUGAUGCUAAAAUUGUCAUUUUAAACGCAGCAAACUGUAUGUGCUGUUUUGGCACCGAUGGAUAUAUACGCAUUUAUAUGUUGUUUUUCUGAGUGUAGUUUGAAACUAUUGCAACUACUAAUCCACUUAACUUGAAGAAAAAUGCGUCAUGUCUUGUUUGUAGAACGCAGUAGGUUGAUUUUUUUAAAUUUUAGGCGCAUAUUAUACUGUGAAUAUCCUUAUAAUUCGUACUACUAUUCGUACUAAAUUAUAUACCUGAUCAGUGAAAGGGGAUGUGAUGUCUUUGUAUUGGGCUUCUUUUCUUAAUUAACAAAAACGUUUUUGGACUAAACUAAGUAAACUGCACGAGUAGAAUCCAUUUUCACCAGAACUGGUUUAUAAUUUGUAACUUUGAUAUUAAACUUUGAUUGCUGGUAACAGUAAUGAGUACGAUAUUUGUUCACAUCUGUAUCAAGCAAUUGAUGGUGGAGCAGACUAACUUGCCAGAAGUUACCGUUCAUGACCCAAAAUUGCAACACACCAAUCUCAUGUAGAUUUACUCAGCAAGCACCAUCUUAAUUAAUGAUUUCACCUGUUACAAUUACCAUCAGCAUUGUUAGGUUUACCAUCUUAGUGAAGGAGCAAGACUAAUUAGGCUCCAAAAUAAUAAAAUAUUGCACAUUCAAACUGUGUAGCUCAGUCUGGAAUGCAUUGGUCUUGUAAACCAGGGGUUGUGGGCUGCAUUCUUACUGUGGUCAAGUUGAUUUUUCAGCUUGCCUGGUUUAGAUUUACUCAGUGUAGCAACAUCUUAGUAAUUAUUUAACACCAGCCUUGUAUUUUACAGUUCAGUUCUUAUGUACUUUGGUGUAAAAGAUUUUAAGCUAUAUAACUUGUAGAAGUUAUAUUGCUUAAUUGUUUUGGCAACACAGCAUAUUGUCCAGUGCAUAUGGUUAAAGAUGUGCUACCUUCAAAUAUUUUCUGUUCUUCUUUUUAGUGUUAGAAAGUUCACAAUUGGCAAAUUUCAAGAUGUAGUCCAGAAAGCAAUUUGUUGGAACAUGAAGACCUUCAAAUGUGUUUUCUGUUUGAUCAAAGGCCUUAAAGAAACGAAACUGAUCUUAAUAGAUUUAUGGAUCUAAACUCAAAUUUAUGGAACUAAAUUAUAUGGAUUUAUGGAACUAAAAUCAAAUUAAAUAUGGAUUGAUAAUAUGGAUAAAAAAUAUGGAUUUAUGGAACUAAAAUCAAAUCAAAGUGUUGUUUACAUUUUUGGAGUUGUACAACUUGUACUCAGUAGAAUACACUAGAUGUUAAAGUUUCAUUUACUUGGUUCCCUUUGUAAAAACAACACUACAACUUAUAUGCACCAACAUCCGAUUUGUUGCAAGUUGAAACCAGUUUUAUUGCCUGAUAUAUUUUACUCUGCCAACAAGUCUUAAUAACGAAGGGGCUAUUUACAUGAGCCCGACUAGUCCUGUUAACCGAGGCACCCAGCUUAAUACAAAUCAUUUAACAAGAAUCUGCCUAGCCGAGAUCUCACUUCAGUCAAAUGGGAUGCCCGGAUAACCGGGCUGAAAUUUCUCCAUGUAAAGUCACCAGCUCAGGUGACCUCCUGGCUAGCCAGGCCUUCAGCCUGGUUAACCGGGCCAGCCUGCAUGGCUAGCCGGGCUCAUGUAAACAGUCCCUAAGGUGAUAGCAACAAUAAUAUACUUGGUGCUAAAUGUAACAUAAACUUGAGUAACAGAGAAAAUUCUCAUAUUCAGAUUAUUUUCCCCUCAUUGUAGAGUAAACUGUUAAUAUGUAUCUUAAAAACUAGAGUGUAUAUUAGAAUCUCACAGAUUUAUAAUUUAAACUGUCGUUAAGAUAAAUCAGGUCUCUUAUUGUCUGUUUUGUAAAUGAAGUUCCCUGAUUCAUCCAAGCAUUGAUCUUUAAACUAUUUUU
Paramuricea clavata is the source of this 2033-nucleotide non-coding RNA. The record is from the annotation of a GenBank genome assembly. NCBI's taxonomy places the organism in Eukaryota, Metazoa, Cnidaria, Anthozoa, Malacalcyonacea, Plexauridae.